UCCCUGGUGGUCUGGUGGUUACCACUCUGCCUUUCUAUUGCAGAGGGCACAGGUUCAAUUCCUGGUCAGGGAA
RNAcentral lists this transfer RNA (73 nucleotides) under Bos indicus (zebu cattle). It matches the Rfam family "tRNA". From Rfam's summary of the family: Transfer RNA (tRNA) molecules are approximately 80 nucleotides in length. The record is from Rfam by way of RNAcentral. RNAcentral also lists the same sequence under 4 other names. Lineage: Eukaryota; Metazoa; Chordata; Mammalia; Artiodactyla; Bovidae.